RNAcentral lists this long non-coding RNA (346 nucleotides) under Phascolarctos cinereus (koala). Its description in RNAcentral is "lncRNA (ENSPCIG00000003661.2)". The record is from RNAcentral. Lineage: Eukaryota; Metazoa; Chordata; Mammalia; Diprotodontia; Phascolarctidae.
CAAAGAGUCCUAUACAACAGUGGAUUCUGUCUUCCUUCCACAGCAUAUGAAAUAAUUGGUUCGUACCCUGGGUUUGAGUUAGGUUGGAAUAUUAUCAUAUAAAUGGAUGAAAAAUGACUGGCAAAGGGAGAAGCUGGAGGUCAAGGAGGUUUUGGUUUGCAUAGGACCAUGCAUCCUGUUCUAAACUACUAAGGUGUGGACAAAGCUGAACCUCUUCCUCCUCUGAUGUGCUGUGAAUCAAGGAAUAUGCAACAGAUCAAAGUCAGGUUCCUCUUCCCAGAAUAAUGUCAUGCUUUAAUUAAUGGCCAUGCGAAAUAAAUCUAAACUUUAAAAAAUUACUUUCUCA